UACGUAGGGCGCAAGCGUUAUCCGGAAUUAUUGGGCGUAAAGCGCGCGCAGGCGGCCUCGCGCGCCCGACGUGAAAGCCCCCGGCUUAACCGGGGAGGGUCGUUGGGGACGGCGGGGCUUGAGGGCGGGAGAGGUCGGUGGAAUUCCCGGUGUAGUGGUGAAAUGCGUAGAGAUCCGGAAGAACACCGGUGGCGAAGGCGGCCUGCUGGGCAGUAGCUGACGCUGAAGCGCGACAGCGUGGGGAGCAAACAGG
Molecule: ribosomal RNA, 253 nt
Filed under: uncultured bacterium
Lineage: Bacteria
Description: partial 16S ribosomal RNA
Rfam family: Bacterial small subunit ribosomal RNA
Source: RNAcentral